This 330-nucleotide long non-coding RNA is filed under the name Homo sapiens (human). RNAcentral describes it as "non-protein coding DANCR:15". Lineage: Eukaryota; Metazoa; Chordata; Mammalia; Primates; Hominidae. The record is from RNAcentral.
CUCUUUGUCAGCUGGAGUUGCGCGGGCUGACGCGCCACUAUGUAGCGGGUUUCGGGCGGGCCACGCGUGCGGGACAGGAACCCAACCCCAGCCGACCUUGAGCUCCAGGAGUUCGUCUCUUACGUCUGCGGAAGUGCAGCUGCCUCAGUUCUUAGCGCAGGUAUGUUCCUAGCCUUGAGCGGGGUGGGGGAAGGAAUGAGUCAGCCUGGAGCACGUGGCCAGUGGGACCGGAGGGUUCCCCGGCGUCUGUUUGUCGCCAAGGUCCGAAUCCGGCUCCCCUUAACUGGAAGGAAACAUCCAUGUAGGGGCUCACCAAACAAAACAGCUGUG